GGGAACGUACCCUUCGGUUCGGAAUAACUCAGGGAAACUUGAGCUAAUACCGGAUACGUCCUUUUGGGGAAAGGUUUACUGCCGAAGGAUCGGCCCGCGUCUGAUUAGCUUGUUGGUGGGGUAACGGCCUACCAAGGCGACGAUCAGUAGCUGGUCUGAGAGGAUGAUCAGCCACACUGGGACUGAGACACGGCCCAGACUCCUACGGGAGGCAGCAGUGGGGAAUAUUGGACAAUGGGCGCAAGCCUGAUCCAGCCAUGCCGCGUGAGUGAUGAAGGCCUUAGGGUUGUAAAGCUCUUUUGUCCGGGACGAUAAUGACGGUACCGGAAGAAUAAGCCCCGGCUAACUUCGUGCCAGCAGCCGCGGUAAUACGAAGGGGGCUAGCGUUGCUCGGAAUCACUGGGCGUAAAGGGCGCGUAGGCGGCCGAUUAAGUCGGGGGUGAAAGCCUGUGGCUCAACCACAGAAUUGCCUUCGAUACUGGUUGGCUUGAGACCGGAAGAGGACAGCGGAACUGCGAGU
This 520-nucleotide ribosomal RNA is filed under the name uncultured bacterium. RNAcentral's name for it is "bacterial SSU rRNA". It matches the Rfam family "Bacterial small subunit ribosomal RNA", at positions 120 to 674 of the family's 1533-position model. The record is from RNAcentral.